CUUUACUAUAGCGUGUCAUUGAAAUUAGUUUUGCAUUGUUUAGAAUAGGAGGGAGACUUUGAAAGUUCGGCGCUAGCCGAACUGGAGUCGCAAUAUGAAAUACCACUCUGUGUAGAAUUGAUUUCUAACGAGACCUUAACCUAGUCUCGGACAGUGGCUCGUGGGUAGUUUAACUGGGGCGGUUGCCUCCUAAAUGGUAACGGAGGCGUUUAUUAAGGUAUGCUAGACGCGGAUGGAAAUCGCGUUGAUAGUGCAAACGCAUAAGCAUGCUUGACUGCAAGAGUGGCGACUCGCGCAGGGGCGAAAGUCGAAGUUAGUGAUCCGAUGCGUUCGAGUGGAAGACGCAAAGCCCAACGGAUAAAAGUUA
This 367-nucleotide ribosomal RNA is filed under the name uncultured organism. RNAcentral describes it as "bacterial LSU rRNA". It matches the Rfam family "Bacterial large subunit ribosomal RNA", at positions 2099 to 2465 of the family's 2925-position model. The record is from RNAcentral.